Molecule: long non-coding RNA, 204 nt
Filed under: Elaeis guineensis (African oil palm)
Lineage: Eukaryota; Viridiplantae; Streptophyta; Magnoliopsida; Arecales; Arecaceae
Description: long non-coding RNA (EGUI_LNC044490)
Source: RNAcentral
CUCCUUUUUAAUGAUAAUAAAACAUUGAGUACUUUGAAAGAAUACAAUACAUAAAUGAGAUAUACAAUAUGUAAACAUAGUUAUAAGACAUUUGAAUGCUCAAAUUGGUGUUAUCAUAGCUCUCAAAUUUUCAGAUUUUUGACAACUCCCCCUUAACUUGUGCAUAAAAAAAAAAAUUAGUUGCCAGUUCCAUUUGUGCUCCCC